UACGUAGGGGGCAAGCGUUGUCCGGAAUUAUUGGGCGUAAAGCGCGUGUAGGCGGCUCGGUAAGUCUGGUGUGAAAACUCGAGGCUUAACCUCGAGAUGUCAUCGGAAACCAUCUGGCUAGAGUCCGGAAGAGGAGAGUGGAAUUCCUGGUGUAGCGGUGAAAUGCGCAGAUAUCAGGAAGAACACCAAUGGCGAAAGCAGCUCUCUGGGACGGUACUGACGCUGAGACGCGAAAGCGUGGGGAGCGAACAGG
RNAcentral lists this ribosomal RNA (253 nucleotides) under uncultured bacterium. RNAcentral describes it as "partial 16S ribosomal RNA". It matches the Rfam family "Bacterial small subunit ribosomal RNA", at positions 524 to 776 of the family's 1533-position model. The record is from RNAcentral.